Molecule: ribosomal RNA, 497 nt
Filed under: uncultured bacterium
Lineage: Bacteria
Description: partial 16S ribosomal RNA
Rfam family: Bacterial small subunit ribosomal RNA
Source: RNAcentral
GAUGAACGCUGGCGGCGUGCCUAAUACAUGCAAGUCGAGCGAACAGAUGAGGAGCUUGCUCCUCUGACGUUAGCGGCGGACGGGUGAGUAACACGUGGAUAACCUACCUAUAAGACUGGGAUAACUUCGGGAAACCGGAGCUAAUACCGGAUAAUAUAUUGAACCGCAUGGUUCAAUAGUGAAAGACGGUUUUGCUGUCACUUAUAGAUGGAUCCGCGCCGCAUUAGCUAGUUGGUAAGGUAACGGCUUACCAAGGCAACGCUGCGUAGCCGACCUGAUAGGGUGCUCGGCCCCACUGGAACUGAGACACGGUCCAGACUCCUACGGGAGGCAGCAGUAGGGAAUCUUCCGCAAUGGGCGAAAGCCUGACGGAGCAACGCCGCGUGAGUGAUGCAGGUCUUCGGAUCGUAAAACUCUGUUAUUAGGGAAGAACAAAUGUGUAAGUAACUAUGCACGUCUUGACGGUACCUAAUCAGAAAGCCACGGCUAACUACGUG